ACGAACGCUGGCGGCGUGCUUAACACAUGCCAGUCGAACGGAAAGGCCCUGCUUUUGUGGGGUGCUCGAGUGGCGAACGGGUGAGUAACACGUGAGUAACCUGCCCUUGACUUUGGGAUAACUUCAGGAAACCGGGGCCAAUACCGGAUAGGAGCUCCUGCUGCAUGGUGGGGGUUGGAAAGUUUCGGCGGUUGGGGAUGGACUCGCGGCUUAUCAGCUUGUUGGUGGGGUAGUGGCUUACCAAGGCUUUGACGGGUAGCCGGCCUGAGAGGGUGACCGGCCACAUUGGGACUGAGAUACGGCCCAGACUCCUACGGGAGGCAGCAGUGGGGAAUAUUGCACAAUGGGCGGAAGCCUGAUGCAGCAACGCCGCGUGCGGGAUGACGGCCUUCGGGUUGUAAACCGCUUUCGCCUGUGACGAAGCGUGAGUGACGGUAAUGGGUAAAGAAGCACCGGCUAACUACGUG
Molecule: ribosomal RNA, 467 nt
Filed under: uncultured bacterium
Lineage: Bacteria
Description: partial 16S ribosomal RNA
Rfam family: Bacterial small subunit ribosomal RNA
Source: RNAcentral